UAAUACGGAGGGUGCAAGCGUUAUCCGGAUUCACUGGGUUUAAAGGGUGCGUAGGUGGGCAGGUAAGUCCGUGGUGAAAUCUCUGAGCUUAACUCAGAAACUGCCGUGGAUACUAUUUGUCUUGAAUAUUGUGGAGGUAAGCGGAAUAUGUCAUGUAGCGGUGAAAUGCUUAGAUAUGACAUAGAACACCAAUUGCGAAGGCAGCUUACUACACAAUUAUUGACGCUGAGGCACGAAAGCGUGGGGAUCAAACAGGAUUAGAUACCCUGGUAGUCCACGCCCUAAACGAUGAUUACUCGACAUCAGCGAUACACUGUUGGUGUCUGAGCGAAAGCAUUAAGUAAUCCACCUGGGAAGUACGAUCGCAAGAUU
RNAcentral lists this ribosomal RNA (372 nucleotides) under uncultured bacterium. RNAcentral's name for it is "bacterial SSU rRNA". It matches the Rfam family "Bacterial small subunit ribosomal RNA", at positions 521 to 895 of the family's 1533-position model. The record is from RNAcentral.